GGAGCACAACAUAGGAAGAGAUGACAGCCAGGUGUCAUAUCAGCCUCUGAGCCUGGAGUAGCACAUGAUGUUAACUGCCAUUUAUCUCCUUUCAUCCCUCUGUUGUCUGGGAAAUCCUGCUAAUAAGGUGCCAUCUACAUGUGUUGUCCUACCUUUAUCUCAGUUCAGUACUUAAGAAUACCUGCAGAGUGCGACUCAGUACUACUUGUCCAUUAGGAGCAAUUUAUGCAGGACAGCUAAGGCUUCUUUGCAUGAUUUUGCUUUGCCAGAUUACUCAUAGCAGAGGUGAUAAUUGUAAUUGAGACUUUAGUAUCUUUUGUCAUGGUAAUUACAUACUGCAUUUUUUAAAAGAAUUUAGGAAUGCAUGCAACAAAAUGUAGAUCAGAAGCUUUGCCACAAAGGAUAAGGCAAGGGAAAUGAAUUAAAUUAACUUUUUAUUGGGUUGUCUUGAAUAAUCUGUUAAAUAAUACAAUACAGGUAUGCUUUAAAGGAACAAAGAGAGUGGGAAAGCAUAUCUCUUCAGCUUUACUUUGUGGAAAUCCAAUUCGUGUUUGCUUAGAUUUACUGUAAGAGAAGACGACCUUGAAAAUUAGGCAGUGUUUGUUCGAGUAGUCCUAUUUAAUUCAUACAUGAUAGAUUGAGAGAAGUGUUGCACCUCCUUGAUUUAUAGACUUUUUCUUAUAUCCUUAUUACCUCUGAAGAGGAAAGAUUUAGGCUGUGAAUAGAGAAUAUAUAGAUGGAUAACAAGUGCAAACUUGAAAACUUACACAAAACUGCAGAAACUCUCACUUUUUAGUCAAGAUUUUUAGUUCCAUUUCAGACACUGCAUCCUGUUCUCCUUAGGGUUUGGGUAGGUGAUGUUCACUGAAGAACUGAACAGACAAAAUGCUUACGCAAGACACUUAGUGAAAUGUGGGCUCUAUAAGACAUUCAACAUACCAUCAAACCACUGUUAUGAGAAAUGCCUGUUUUGAGAAACAACAAUUUUCCAACAGAUGCAAAUCAGAAAAGAUAGCAACAAACAAGAGUAAUGUUGGUUUUGUAACCAAAUGGUAUAUAUUAUUUGCAAAAUUAUUUUGUCCCCUUUUUUUGCAUUGUAUAAUUUGCAUGUCAUCUUCUUCUCCCCGCUUAUAUCCUCUCCAAUAUGUAUUAAUUUGUGUAAGAAAUAAGUUGUUGUUGUAUUAGGAAAUUCUUAACAAUAAAACCUUGUUCUAAUGAACAGUUUUUAUUAUUAGAUAGCAUGAGGCUUUGUUAAGGAAGCCAAUGUCUGGUAGGAAGCUUUGAAAGCUGAGAGAAUUAUAUGCAGAAAAUUAAAGGAACAUCCAAGAACUCAUUCUUUUCCCACCUUUUCCAAAAAAUAGCAGAGUAAAUCAUAAGAUCUGAGUGUUCUUAUUCUCAGCUUUUCUGGAACUAGACUCUAAAUUUUUAUUCCUCAAACUUUAAAUAAACUCAGUUAUAUACCUCUUAUAUAGUAAUCUAUUUUUCCAUAAUGAUUUUGAAUUAAGUGAAGUGUGCCAUUGCUUUGGCCUCUGUGGCAACAUCAAAGACUGUUCCUUCUAAGUAAAUUUUCUACCUGCCA
Tympanuchus pallidicinctus (lesser prairie-chicken) is the source of this 1579-nucleotide long non-coding RNA. RefSeq lists it as uncharacterized. The transcript has 3 exons. NCBI's taxonomy places the organism in Eukaryota, Metazoa, Chordata, Aves, Galliformes, Phasianidae. The record is from RefSeq and is a predicted model, not a curated record.